GACAUGNAAGUCGUACGAACGACCCAAUUGAGUAAUCGAGAGGGAAGUUAGUGGCGAAAGGGUGAGUAAUGCAUGGGUAACGUACCCCGGACUCCAGAAUAGCUGCGGAACUUCGGUUCCUUUGCGAAAGUGCAGGUAAUACUGGAUGAUAUCUCGAAAUCGUAUGGUUUCUUGAUCAAAGGUUUACUGGUCUGGGAGCGGCCUAUGUCGUAUCAGCUUGUUGGUGAGGUAACGGCUUACCAAGGCUUCGACGCGUAGCGGGACUGAGAGGUUGGCCCGCCACAUCGGGACUGAGACACUGCCCGGACCUCCACGGAGGGCUGCAGUAACGAAUAUUGCGCAAUGAGCGAAAGCUUGACGCAGCAAUGCCGCGUGUAGGAUGAAGCCCCUCGGGGUGUAAACUACUGACAGGGUGAAGAAAGGUGCGCUUUGGCGUACUUGAUCGAUCCCAGAGGAAGGACCGGCUAACUUCGUGCCAGCAGCCGCGGUAAUACGAAGGGUCCUAGCGUUGUUCGGAAUUAUUGGGCUUAAAGCGCAUGUAGGCGGAUAGUUAAGUGUCUUGUGAAAUCCCUCGGCUCAACCGAGGAACUGCUGGGCAUACUGGCUAUCUUGAGGCAAGUAGGGGUGCAUGGAACUCUAGGUGGAGCGGUGGAAUGCGUAGAUAUCUAGAGGAACGCCGGUGGUGAAAACGGUGCACUGGGCUUGUUCUGACGCUGAGGUGCGAAAGCGUGGGUAGCGAACGGGAUUAGAUACCCCGGUAGUCCACGCCGUAAACGAUGUCUACUAGGUUGUGGUGGGUCUGACCCUGGCACAGCCGAAGCAAAAGUGUUAAGUAGACCGCCUGGGGAGUACGGUCGCAAGGCUAAAACUCAAAGGAAUUGACGG
Molecule: ribosomal RNA, 885 nt
Filed under: uncultured bacterium
Lineage: Bacteria
Description: bacterial SSU rRNA
Rfam family: Bacterial small subunit ribosomal RNA
Source: RNAcentral